CUGGCAACGCUCUUUGGUCAUGGUCAAACAGAUCAAACCGCGACCAUAUUUGGCCAUAAAAUUGAUGGCUUCUGGCGUAAUGUGCUCCGCCGCCAUAAUCA
Molecule: antisense RNA, 101 nt
Filed under: Vibrio vulnificus
Lineage: Bacteria; Pseudomonadati; Pseudomonadota; Gammaproteobacteria; Vibrionales; Vibrionaceae
Description: Vibrio RNA AS9
Rfam family: Vibrio RNA AS9
About the family: Identified by direct cloning an parallel sequencing experiments with 5S/tRNA depletion.
Source: RNAcentral